AUCAGAUUGUUAAUCAAAGUGUCAAAAAUCAGUAUACAAAAUAGCAAAGUUCAGUAACAAAUUAGAAAUGCCCUUUCUGCUGAACACGAACUUAGAUUCUCCUCCCAAAUCAAUUGCUCCUUUCACACAUGAAGAAUCCUAAUUUUACCUCUACCAAGCUUCUUCCCCAAAUCAAUUGAUCCUCAAGGUUCACUUAAAGAACCCUAACCCCCAAAAUGGAUUCGCGAAGUAUGUGAACAAAGAAUCGACCAUUUUUCUCGGUUGCGAUCCCAACUUUAGCUCAAGCACCUCAACCCCCAAAAUCAAAUCGAAAGUCUGUGAACAAACAAUAGGCCAUUCUUCUAUGUUGCGAUGCUCAACUUCACCUCAAGAACCCUAACCCUCAAUUGAAUCGCUAAGUAUGUGAGCCAACAAUCUACAAUUGUGUUUUACACACUUGAAAGCGUACACAUGAACGGUUCUAAAAAAGGUAAUUCUGCCAUUUUAGUGGGCCUAGAAAAUUUUUAUUUUUUUUUAAAUUUUUUUGCCUCUGUUUUGGAAUUUUAGAUAAAUUACCUCAUUUUUGGCUUAGUUGUAAUUUAAAACAUGAUUAUAUUUCUAGGUUCUCAUUUCUAUGCUUUUUUUAUUACGUAAUAACUCGACCUGAAAAAAUUGAAGUUGUGUGAUAACUUACUUGGAAAAGUUUCUGCAAUGUUUAAUUGAUGUGAAACCAACCACUUAAUGUUGAGUCUGUGAAACUUUAAUCGAAAAUGCAUGAUUUUUGGAUUCAAAAACAAACGCUUGUUAACAAUUUUCACAUUUAGCAUCUUAAACGCGAGACGGUGAAAUAGCAGUACAUUUUGAAUGUUAAAGUUGAAUAUUUUCUUCUUCAUAUGUUACUGUCCUAAUGUUAAUGAGCUACAAUUUUAUGGCAGUGUGUGGAUGAUCCGGACUUCAUCGAUUCUGAGAUCGAUUUGGGGUCUGAUUGAGGCGACAAUGAAUAUGACAGAAAUGUGACCGAUAAGAUAGAAAUGGGAAUGGUUGGCCGUGAAGAUCAAGUGCAUAUGGAGAUUUAGCCUCAGAUUGUUUAUAAUAUAUUUUUCUCACUCUUCUUUUUAAUCGCACAUUCUCCAAUAAAAUAAUAUUACACAUAAAUCAAAAACUUUUCGUUUUUUUUCAACCACAUGUUCUCCAAAAAAAAAAUUAUAUUAUCAAAUAAUGGAGGCCAAACUAGGGCUUAACAGUCUUCCGUUGUUCUUGCUGUGACAGAAUAAAUUAUGCCGGCUGAUAUUAGAUGUUUCUAAUCUUGAUGAACUUGUUCACAAGUAUUGGCUACAGGGGCAUUGUUGACUCUGGUCUCGCAUAUGCCAUUUUAUUUCUUAUUUUCAGUUUAUUCUUUUG
This 1380-nucleotide long non-coding RNA is filed under the name Olea europaea subsp. europaea. Lineage: Eukaryota; Viridiplantae; Streptophyta; Magnoliopsida; Lamiales; Oleaceae. The record is from RNAcentral.